Molecule: ribosomal RNA, 430 nt
Filed under: uncultured bacterium
Lineage: Bacteria
Description: partial 16S ribosomal RNA
Rfam family: Bacterial small subunit ribosomal RNA
Source: RNAcentral
UGGGGAAUUUUGGACGAAUUGGGCGAAAGCCUGAUCCAGCAAUGCCGCGUGUGUGAAGAAGGCCUUCGGGUUGUAAAGCACUUUUGUCCGGAAAGAAAUCCUUGGCUCUAAUACAGUCGGGGGAUGACGGUACCGGAAGAAUAAGCACCGGCUAACUACGUGCCAGCAGCCGCGGUAAUACGUAGGGUGCAAGCGUUAAUCGGAAUUACUGGGCGUAAAGCGUGCGCAGGCGGUUUGCUAAGACCGAUGUGAAAUCCCCGGGCUCAACCUGGGAACUGCAUUGGUGACUGGCAGGCUAGAGUAUGGCAGAGGGGGGUUAGAAUUCCACGUGUAGCAGUGAAAUGCGUAGAGAUGUGGAGGAAUACCGAUGGCGAAGGCAGCCCCCUGGGCCAAUACUGACGCUCAUGCACGAAAGCGUGGGGAGCAAAGC